UAGUGUUUUAAUCAAACUAAAAAGCCAGAUUAACAGUCGCUAAUCUAUCAUCAGAAGUGGGAUAAAGGAUAUCUUCUCGUGAAUUAUUUCCGGAAGAGAGGACCUAAAAAAAUAUUUUUUUUUUUUUUUGUGUUUCUUUGUGAACGAACAGACAAUAGUGAAAAACACAAACGCGCAGUGAGUCCGAACGUUGUGAACAUUACCGAAAGUGCAUCGGAGAGAGACUAGCAGCAAGAAAGUAACAACAGAUUCCAAAAACAAAACAUGGAAAUUUUAUCGACAAUGGCCAACGCCCAAACUACUCAAGCAACAUUGAAGAUGGCUGCGCAGAAGGUUUAAGUGUGGCUGCAGCGCAGUUUCGACUUGUAAGAUUUAGAAAUUGCAUUUGAGGAACAUGACUUGAAUUUGUCAGGAAUGGACGAGUGGGUUACGAAAGAAAUAAAAGAACAACCGAAUGGAUAUUUUAGACAUCUUGUGAAAAACUUUGCAACUUUAACAGCACCGAUAUCUGCACUGUUACGUGAGGGAAAAUCUUUUGAAUGGACAUUUAAAUGUGAAAAUGUACGAUUGAUUUCUUAUCCGAUUUUCAACAUUUUUGAUCUGGAAUUGUCAACCGAACUACAUACAGAAGCAAGUUCGUUAGGAUUAGAUGUCGUUGUUAGCUGUCGAAUAGAGGAAAGUUGAAACCAAAGUAUCACGGACCCUUUGAGGUAACGCAUUGUUUACCUAAUGAGAGGUACGCACUCCGAAGGAUUGGCAGCCGAGGUAGAACUACAAUAGCAGCGCAUGAACAGUUACGAACCUGGCCAGAUACAGAAAUUCUAUAAGGUAUGAUGGAUAUAGAUUUAUUUAAUAAGAUUGAUGUGUGAAUGUGUGUAAAGGUCCCUGCUUAGUAGGCUAUGAUUAAGGUCCCUGCUCGGCAGGCUAUUUUUAAGGUCCCUGCGUCGCAGGCUAUGUUUGAGGUCCCUACUUUGCAGGCUAUGUUUAAGGUCCCUACUUUGCAGGCUAUGUUUAAAGGUCCCUGCUCGGCAGGCUAUGUUUAAGGUCCCUGCUCUGCAGGCUUAGAUUGUUGUGUUCUGGGUCUGUGAGACAAGCGGGUAAUAGACCUGGUAGUGGUUGAACCGCCUCUGAGCUCCUGGCUAGAAUAUGGUAUCUUUUGAUAGCACUUGAGAGUCAUGGGUGUAACAGACCUGUUGAUGGUUGAGCCGCCUCUGAGCUUCUAGUGGUUGUUAACUGUGCCACAUAACAGUCUAUUUUGUUAAAUGAAAUAAGGUUUAGACUUAGUUCUUCGAAUAUAUUUUGAGCUUGUACUGCUGUUAUAAUGUUUACAGAUUACCGGUGUCAGGUGAAUCUUUGCAAAACUGCGGAAGGUGCGAGGACGCCCCACAUGUCAGGAAGGCCGUGUUAGCUUACGUCAUCACCUUCACCGAUGGACCGAUGCGACGUGCUCACAUCUAUUUAGACUAGUUUUGUUUUAUAAGCAAAUCUGAAGUAUUUGUUUACAUUUAAUAAUCGGGGCAGUUCUUAAGAAAGAACCAGGCAGUCAAGCUUUAGAUGUCGAGGGUUAAACUACGUUUGUUGUAAUAAAGCGUAUUAUUGUGAA
Long non-coding RNA from Aethina tumida (small hive beetle), 1603 nucleotides. RefSeq lists it as uncharacterized. The record is from RefSeq and is a predicted model, not a curated record. Lineage: Eukaryota; Metazoa; Arthropoda; Insecta; Coleoptera; Nitidulidae. The transcript has 2 exons.